CCCUUAGAUGUUCUGGGCAGCACGCGCGCUACAAUGGUCUUCGCAAACGGAUGCAUUCUCGAAGGAGAAUGCCAAUCUUGGAAUCUAUGCCUUGGUCGGGACAGUUGCUUGCAAUUUUUCGACUCGAACCAGGAAUUCCUUGUAAUCGUGAUUCAUCACAUCACGAUGAAUACGUCCCUGCCCUUUGUACACACCGCCCGUCGCUCCUACCGAUCGAAGAGUUAGGUGAAUUGUUUUGAUCGAUAAGAUUUGACUAUGGUCAACUCUCUUUGUGAAAUUCUGUGAAUCUGACUGUUUAGAGGAAGGAAAAGUCGUAACA
RNAcentral lists this ribosomal RNA (319 nucleotides) under uncultured eukaryote. RNAcentral describes it as "partial 18S ribosomal RNA". It matches the Rfam family "Eukaryotic small subunit ribosomal RNA", at positions 1470 to 1796 of the family's 1831-position model. The record is from RNAcentral.